Molecule: ribosomal RNA, 906 nt
Filed under: Halobyssothecium phragmitis
Lineage: Eukaryota; Fungi; Ascomycota; Dothideomycetes; Pleosporales; Lentitheciaceae
Description: partial large subunit ribosomal RNA
Rfam family: Eukaryotic large subunit ribosomal RNA
Source: RNAcentral
UAUCAAUAAGCGGAGGAAAAGAAACCAACAGGGGAUUGCCCUAGUAACGGCGAGUGAAGCGGCAACAGCUCAAAUUUGAAAUCUGGCCUCCUUUGGUGGUCCGAGUUGUAAUUUGCAGAGGGUGCUUUGGCGUCGGCAGCGGUCUAAGUUCCUUGGAACAGGACAUCACAGAGGGUGAGAAUCCCGUACGUGGUCGCCUGCCUUCGCCGUGUAAAGCCCCUUCGACGAGUCGAGUUGUUUGGGAAUGCAGCUCUAAAUGGGAGGUAAAUUUCUUCUAAAGCUAAAUACCGGCCAGAGACCGAUAGCGCACAAGUAGAGUGAUCGAAAGAUGAAAAGCACUUUGGAAAGAGAGUCAAACAGCACGUGAAAUUGUUGAAAGGGAAGCGCUUGCAGCCAGACUUGCCCGCAGUUGCUCAUCGGAUCUUUUGCUCCGAGCACUCUUCUGCGGGCAGGCCAGCAUCAGUUUGGGCGACCGGAUAAUGGCCUCUGUCAUGUAUCUUCCUUCGGGAUGACCUUAUAGGGGAGGCGUAAUGCGGCCAGCCCGGACUGAGGUCCGCGCAUCUGCUAGGAUGCUGGCGUAAUGGCUGUAAGCGGCCCGUCUUGAAACACGGACCAAGGAGUCUAACAUCUAUGCGAGUGUUUGGGUGUCAAGCCCGGGCGCGUAAUGAAAGUGAACGGAGGUGGGAACCCUCUCGGGGGUGCACCAUCGACCGAUCCUGAUGUCUUCGGAUGGAUUUGAGUAAGAGCAUAGCUGUUGGGACCCGAAAGAUGGUGAACUAUGCUUGAAUAGGGUGAAGCCAGAGGAAACUCUGGUGGAGGCUCGCAGCGGUUCUGACGUGCAAAUCGAUCGUCAAAUUUGGGCAUAGGGGCGAAAGACUAAUCGAACUAUCUAGUAGCUGGGUCCUG